Molecule: ribosomal RNA, 465 nt
Filed under: uncultured bacterium
Lineage: Bacteria
Description: partial 16S ribosomal RNA
Rfam family: Bacterial small subunit ribosomal RNA
Source: RNAcentral
GAUGAACGCUGGCGGCGUGCUUAACACAUGCAAGUCGAGCGGAAAGGCUCUGCUUGAAGGGUACCCGAGUCGCGAAUGGGUGAGUCACACGCGGGUGAUCUGCCCUGCACUUCGGGAUAAGCCUGGGAAACUGGGACUCAUCCCGGUUAGGAGCCAUUCCUAGUGGGAUGGUUGGAACGUUUUUUCGGUGUAGGAUGACCUUGCGGCCUUUCAGCUUGUUGGUGGGGUAAUGGCCUACCAAGGCGGCGACGGGUAGCCGGCCUCGGAGGGUGGACGGCCACAGUGGGGCGACUAGACCGCCCAGACGCCGUCGGGAGGCAGCGGUGGGGGACACUACACAAUGGGCGCAAGCCAGAUGCAACGACGCCGCGUGUAGGAAGACGGCCUUCCGGUUGUAAGCUCCUUUCGCCAGAGACGAAGCUUUUUGUGACGGUACCUAGAUAAUAAGCACCGGCUAACUACGUG